Molecule: ribosomal RNA, 462 nt
Filed under: uncultured bacterium
Lineage: Bacteria
Description: partial 16S ribosomal RNA
Rfam family: Bacterial small subunit ribosomal RNA
Source: RNAcentral
GACGAACGCUGGCGGCGUGCUUAACACAUGCAAGUCGAACGGAAAGGCCCUUCGGGGUACUCGAGUGGCGAACGGGUGAGUAACACGUGGGUGAUCUGCCCUGCACUUUGGGAUAAGCCUGGGAAACUGGGUCUAAUACCGAAUAGGACCACGCGCUUCAUGGUGUGUGGUGGAAAGCUUUUGCGGUGUGGGAUGGGCCCGCGGCCUAUCAGCUUGUUGGUGGGGUAAUGGCCUACCAAGGCGACGACGGGUAGCCGGCCUGAGAGGGUGACCGGCCACACUGGGACUGAGAUACGGCCCGGACUCCUACGGGAGGCAGAAGUGGGGAAUAUUGCACAAUGGGCGCAAGCCUGAUGCAGCGACGCCGCGUGAGGGAUGACGGCCUUCGGGUUGUAAACCUCUUUCAAUAGGGACGAAGCGCAAGUGACGGUACCUAUAGAAGAAGCACCGGCCAACUACGUG